RNAcentral lists this small RNA (647 nucleotides) under Pan troglodytes (chimpanzee). Its description in RNAcentral is "retained intron". Lineage: Eukaryota; Metazoa; Chordata; Mammalia; Primates; Hominidae. The record is from RNAcentral.
ACUGACUGUGUGAGUGAUUUAGCUGUUAUCUCAGGUACUCCCGAGGCGUGCUCUCCCCAGGUCGCCACGUUCGAACGCGUCUCUAUUUCACCAGUGAGAGCCAUGUCCACUCUCUGCUCAGUGUCUUCCGUUAUGGAGGACUUCUUGAUGUAAGGAUCCUCCUUCUUCUUUAGGCUGUGAACAGCUUUUUCCCAGCAUUCUUUUACUCUUCUCAAAUGAAAACUUUCUCCAUUCUCAUUGGCUCCCUGCUCAUUCUCUGACUCCCAUUUCCUUAAGCAAUGGCUUACCUCUUUUUGCAUUUGGUAGGAGACCCAGGAUGCACAAUGGCAGCGAGCUUUGGAUUAUCUUAGUGCCAUCUCAGAGCUUAACUACAUGACCCAGAUUGUCAUCAUGCUUUAUGAGGACAACACACAGGAUCCCUUAUCAGAGGAACGGUUCCAUGUGGAGCUACACUUCAGCCCCGGAGUGAAAGGUGUUGAGGAAGAAGGCAGUGCCCCGGCUGGCUGUGGAUUCCGUCCAGCCUCUUCUGAGAAUGAGGAGAUGAAAACCAACCAAGGGAGUAUGGAGAACCUGUGUCCAGGAAAGGCAUCAGAUGAACCAGACCGGGCAUUGCAGACUUUACCCCAGCCUGCUGAGGGCCCUGGCCU